Molecule: ribosomal RNA, 333 nt
Filed under: Triticum aestivum (bread wheat)
Lineage: Eukaryota; Viridiplantae; Streptophyta; Magnoliopsida; Poales; Poaceae
Description: partial small subunit ribosomal RNA
Source: RNAcentral
AUGGGUUGCCUUUUACCAUUGCACAUGAUAAUUUUGAUAGAUAUAAUAUGCAUGUGCUUGCUGCUCCUACGCAAUUAUUAUGAGAGAGGAACUAUAUCUCCACCUCUCUAUGUUUCCCAUACGAUAAAAUUGCAAGAAACUGCUUAUACUAUGCAUUGGCCUUUACUAUGUGUGCAUGAAUUGUUUUUUUAUGACAUGCCGAUGCAUAGGAAGAGAGUUAGACUUCGUUGUUGCAUGAUAUAUGUUACUUUGUGCUCACUACUAAAUUACAAAUCAUUGUUAAUUAAAAUUGGCUUUGAUAUACCUUGGGAUCCGGGUGGAUUCAUUACUUGA